ACUCCUACGGGAGGCAGCAGUGGGGAAUAUUGCACAAUGGGCGAAAGCCUGAUGCAGCAACGCCGCGUGAGUGAUGAAGGCUUUCGAGUCGUAAAGCUCUUUGAUCAGGGAUGAUAAUGACAGUACCUGAAAAACAAGCCACGGCUAACUAC
Molecule: ribosomal RNA, 152 nt
Filed under: uncultured Gram-positive bacterium
Lineage: Bacteria
Description: partial 16S ribosomal RNA
Rfam family: Bacterial small subunit ribosomal RNA
Source: RNAcentral